This 901-nucleotide long non-coding RNA is filed under the name Ananas comosus (pineapple). RNAcentral's name for it is "long non-coding RNA (ACOM_LNC017415)". The record is from RNAcentral. Lineage: Eukaryota; Viridiplantae; Streptophyta; Magnoliopsida; Poales; Bromeliaceae.
AAACACGUACGUAGUUAAUUGGAUUCUAAUUUAGAUGUUACGGACACUGACACGGAAUAUGAGACACAACAGGACUUAGACAUCGCAACUGGACAACUUUCAAAAAAUUAGAACAUGGACAAGAAAUUAAGACCGCUAAUAAAAUAUAAUAUUAUUAAUAUAAUAAUAUAUUUUUAUUAUAUAUAAAAUAUUAAUUUUGAUAAAGUAUUAUUAUAUUUCUCGUACGAAUGAAAUUAAUAAAAUUUUUAUUGAUAGUUCAUAUAUUUUAAAUUUUAUAUUUAUCAUACAUAAUUUAUUUAUAUUACAAAAAAAAAAUCAUAGGCAUUAAUCGAAAAGUUAAAAUAUUUUUUUUAUCGUACAUUACAUAUGCAUAGAAAAAAUAAAAUAAAAAUAGAUAUAUAUAUAUAUUUUAGUUGUAUGCACUGUGGAUCGACAUUAAACGAGCGUCUGAGAAGUGUCCACGUCAGACAUGUGUCCGACACGGACACACGCGUGUCCGACACGAACACGCAAGGUUUAUAGAAGUGUCCAUUAUACGUAGAUUCUAAUUUUAAAUAUUAAUUAUCAAAGAUGAAAGCGUGUAAAACUUAUCCUAACAAUCAUCCAUUUGGAUUGGACUAUUAUGCUAAUUUUUUGAAUCAAUUAAUGACUUUUUAAUUUUUAUAUUUGAAUGCAUUGUUUAUCAUUACGGAUUUAGUUUAGAUAUUUUAUAUAAUUUGCGUAACUAUAAAAUUAUUAAAAUAAAUAAUUAGUUUAAAUUUUGUAUCUAAAAGUCUACCAAAUCACUUAAACAAAUUGGAAGAUUGAAUAGCAAACCUAAAAUUUUAAAAGUUUGAGCAAUCGAAUUAAAAUGGUUUAUAGUUCUAGUAAAUUUUAAGGCUAUUUGGUUUCAAGAAAAAAU